GCCCGGGUGGCGAAACAGGUAGACGCAAGGGACUUAAAAUCCCUCGGAGGCAACUCCGUACCGGUUCGAUUCCGGUCCCGGGCACCA
This 87-nucleotide transfer RNA is filed under the name Pseudomonadales bacterium. Its description in RNAcentral is "tRNA-Leu". It matches the Rfam family "tRNA". Rfam says of the family: Transfer RNA (tRNA) molecules are approximately 80 nucleotides in length. Their secondary structure includes four short double-helical elements and three loops (D, anti-codon, and T loops). Further hydrogen bonds mediate the characteristic L-shaped molecular structure. tRNAs have two regions of fundamental functional importance: the anti-codon, which is responsible for specific mRNA codon recognition, and the 3' end, to which the tRNAs corresponding amino acid is attached (by aminoacyl-tRNA synthetases). tRNAs cope with the degeneracy of the genetic code in two manners: having more than one tRNA (with a specific anti-codon) for a particular amino acid; and 'wobble' base-pairing, i.e. permitting non-standard base-pairing at the 3rd anti-codon position. The record is from RNAcentral. Lineage: Bacteria; Pseudomonadati; Pseudomonadota; Gammaproteobacteria; Pseudomonadales.